This 253-nucleotide ribosomal RNA is filed under the name uncultured bacterium. RNAcentral describes it as "partial 16S ribosomal RNA". It matches the Rfam family "Bacterial small subunit ribosomal RNA", at positions 524 to 776 of the family's 1533-position model. The record is from RNAcentral.
UACGUAGGUGGCGAGCGUUGUCCGGAUUUACUGGGCGUAAAGAGCGCGCAGGCGGUCGUGCAAGUCGCGUGUGAAAGCCCCUGGCUCAACUGGGGAGGGUCACGCGAUACUGUUCGACUCGAAGGCAGGAGAGGGAAGUGGAAUUCCCGGUGUAGUGGUGAAAUGCGUAGAUAUCGGGAGGAACACCAGUGGCGAAGGCGACUUCCUGGCCUGUUCUUGACGCUGAGGCGCGAAAGCUAGGGUAGCAAACGGG